CGUCGGUGCCAUUUCAGCAAAAUUUGAUUGGUUAGUACUUUCUUCUCUGAACUGUGAUUGGUCAGUUCCACGAGUCCCCAACAAGCCAAGUUACCAGCGGAACCUUCUUUUCUUUCUACUGCUCUCUUCGAAUCCUCAGCUGGGCUCUAUUUUUUUCACUCGAAUCAUUCAAACCGUAAAAAGAAACCAUGCUUGCUCGGAAAUCUGCGACAUGGAUUUUGUUGCUGCUUGUGAUCUUUUCCAUCUUCUUUGACUCAUCAGUGGCCCAACUUGAUUCUUGCUGGGCUGCUAAGAAGAGAAAAAUGCGGGAGAAAGUCAGAAAAAUGUUCUACCAUGCGUAUGAAAACUACAUAACACAUGCAUUUCCGCAUGAUGAGCUAAAGCCUCUCACCAAGUCUUUCACUGACUCACUUAGUGAACUUGGAAAUCUGAAGGUAUUUUGUUUUAUGUUAUAUAGGCAUAUGUAAUAUAUGUUUAUAAAGGGAAAUUGACAAUCUGCGAUCUUGUUUACAGCUUGAACACUUGCCACAAGACUAUAAUGGAUCUGCACUCACGCUCGUUGAAUCAUUGUCUAGCCUUGUUAUUUUAGGCAAUUACACAGAAUUUGGAAGGGCAGUUCUUUGGCUUUCUGAAAAUCUAAAAUUUGAUGUUGAUGCAAGGGUAAACCUAUUUGAGUGCAAUAUAAGAGUUCUUGGAGGACUUAUUUCUGCUCAUCUUCUUGCAACUGACUCUACAAAUAGAUUGCUUCAAGGAUCUUACAAGCAUCAGUUGCUUUGGCUGGCUGAAGAUUUAGGGCAACGCUUCCUACCUGCAUUUGAUACACCCAGUGGAUUGCCAUAUGCGUGGAUUAACUUAAAGGUACUGACAGAAACAUGAUUAAUUUUAGUGAUUAUCCCAAUACUCAAAUAAAUUUUAAAUUUACAAUUAGUUCUAGAUUUAUUUUUUUCACAAAGAAAAGAUUAUGCAAAAUUACACAUUUUUCUGUAAAUUUACAACUAGAAGUCACUAUAUCUGUAACAAGAAGAAAAGAAGUUGUACCUUUACAGAAUUCAAGUCAUCAUGCCCUCAAAAAAUAAAAUAUAUGUGUAUGGUAAAGUGAUAUUAAUGCUAUAUAUUGGUUAGUAGGUUUCACAACUUAUAUUCUUCAAGACUAAAAUAUCAUAUUUUUGCAAAUGGGUAACUUUGCCAGGGGUCAGUAGCAGAAUAUUUGGACUGGUUAUUUUAGUUAAACAACUAAGAUUCCAAGAAGGUGGAAAGAAUUCGACUGGUCCAAAUGUUGCCUGUACACAAAGAAUUACUGAAUUCCUUAUACAUAUUGAUCUUAAGGCAUAAUCGGGAAUAGUUUGAAUGUUAAUGUCAAUCAACAUUUACCUUUCUAGUUUUAGGAAGCAUGAAUCUAUUGUGCUUGUUUUGUUUGUUAGAGGGAUAUAUGACUCUGCAGCACUGCAAAAUUCUGUGGACAGUAUGGAGUCAUGGAGAAUGAGACAACUGAAACAAGCACCUCAGGGUGUGGUUCUCUGAUCCUUGAAAUGGGAGCAUUAUCGCAAUUAACUGGUGAUCCUAGAUAUGAGUCUGCAGCUUUACGUGCUCUUCGGAAGUUAUGGAGUAUGCGCAGUUCAUUAAACUUGUUAGGAACAACGUUGGAUGUUGCAACUGGUGAAUGGAUUGAGCAUUCAUCUGGGAUUGGAGCUGGGGUUGAUUCAUUCUAUGAGUAUCUUUACAAGGCUCACAUUCUUUUCGGAAAGGAGGAUUUCUGGAGAAUGUUUCAUUCUGCUUAUCUUGCUGUGCAGAAAUAUUUCAGACAUGGCCCAUGGUACCAUGAAGCUGACAUGAGGACUGGAAAAGCAACUUAUUGGCAACUGACAAGCCUUCAAGCCUUUUGGCCUGGUCUACAGGUUCUUGUUGGGGAUAUUGCAGCUGCCAAUUCAUCGCAUCGGGAAUUUUUUUAUUUGUGGAAGAAGUUUGGGGUGCUACCUGAAAGGUAUUUGCUGGAUCAUCUAACAGUACAUCCUACAGAGAAGUAUUAUCCAUUGCGCCCUGAAUUGGCAGAGUCCACAUUCUACUUAUAUCAAGCAACAAAAGGUCUGGUUAUCAUCUUGGUCAGUUUUUUAGUUUAAAAGUUUUUCCCUUAAAAAUUGUUUAGUUUGGUAGUUUUUGCCAUAUCCUAGAUGCACAAUUUGCCAACCCAAAGAAGAGGAGGAUUUGGUGGGAGAGUGGAAUUCUUUUUCCCAUCCCCUCUUUUCAGGGUGAUGUACAUUAAUUAUUCUACAAGGGAGUAACUUCAGUAUUAGUUUAUGCCUUAACAAAAUAGAUAAAUUUGCUGAAAUAAAAUUAUGUUUAUUUGCUAAUUUAUUAAACCCUCAAUUUGAUUGCCUUCGAUUGAGCAUGAAUGGAGAUUAAGAAAGGGAUGUACCUCUGAGCUUCUGCAGGCAUGCAUCUUGUCAUGUUGAAGUGAAGCACUACCAUUACAGGCAUGCAUCUAGGCAUCUUAAGUAAAGCACUACCAUUUUACCAAUUAGAUCAUGGUCACUGCUAUGAAGCUGAACUGAAAUAAAAAUCUUGACUUUACCUAUUCUGAACUUGUGAACAUUGUUUUUGCAUGUUCUAGAUCCAUGGUAUAUACACGUGGGUGAAUCAAUUGUUAAUUCCCUUAAUUUAUACGCCAAAGUGGAAGGAGGUUUUGCCAGCAUUAGAGACGUGACAACUAUGCAAAGGGAAGAUCAUCAGCAUAGUUUCUUUCUUGCUGAAACGUGCAAGUACUUGUAUCUUCUUUUUGAUGAUUCAUUUUUGGUCAAUCGAAAUUAUAUAUUCACAACUGAGGGCCAUCCUUUACCCGUGCUAAGUGCUUGGCAUGAUAGGCUUCCAGAGACGUACAUCCCUUCGAACUGGACUUACAUCAAGGUCUUCCUUAUUCCUUUCGCCAUGUACAAUGUUUCAUUGUUGAGGGAAUUUAUCCUCCUCAAUCUGAAUUACAGUUCCUGAUUCCAUCAAGAACUUCUACAUUUCAUAAAUUAUUAAUUCAAACUGUACUAUUUGAUUUGAAUUUUCUUUCAGAAUUGCAAUUAUGUAGUACUGUGCAACCCAUUUGCUCCUGAAUUAAAGAUGGAGACCCAUUUUUAAAUUAAAAUAUUUACUUGUGCAGAAUGAAAAGCAAGUAAAACAAGCAAGUGCAAUGUCUCAGCAAGUCUGUCCAGCGAUGAGUUCAAGUUCAGGAGAUGAUGACCAAGGGGUUGAGAGUGCUUGCCAUGUGCCUGAUGCUCGUAGUGACCACAGGUGUUUCAGUGACGAGGAAUGUGGGGUUGACGCGAUCAGCUGCAGAAGAAGAUCAUGCAGCAUUGCUGGCUACUGUGGACUAUGGCUGUUCAUAUGACACUGAUAUAAACAGGCAUUAUUUCAUGACAUACAGCAAAAUUCA
RNAcentral lists this unclassified non-coding RNA (3415 nucleotides) under Hevea brasiliensis (rubber tree). Lineage: Eukaryota; Viridiplantae; Streptophyta; Magnoliopsida; Malpighiales; Euphorbiaceae. The record is from RNAcentral.